Molecule: RNA transcript, 626 nt
Organism: Exaiptasia diaphana
Lineage: Eukaryota; Metazoa; Cnidaria; Anthozoa; Actiniaria; Aiptasiidae
Exons: 3
Source: RefSeq, a predicted model, not a curated record
AUUCCACUAAAAUAGUGAUAGGUACAAUAUAGGUUAGUUAUUAUGGAACAUAUUGGGAGUUGACUUCAAGCAACCACGAGUUGGAGUGACAAACAAUUGCACCACUUGUCAAAGGUCCUCAGUUCAGAUCCAGUAAAGCAAGUUGCGAAAUGAAGUUUGGAACACCCCUUCAGAUCGCUCUUUUCAUUCUUGGGUUAACCUGUGCUUUCCAGCCAAAUGCGGGUGAUAAUUACAUAUAUCCCAUCACAGAGAAGGACAACUUGGAACUAGCACCUGCUAUGUGUAAAGCCCUGGAUGAAAAAAAUGUCUUCGAGACGUAUUUCACGAGUAAUAUAUAUGAAGAAUGUAAACCUUCAUCAAUUGGAGCAGACAGCUAUAAUGGAUUCACAAAAUUUUUGAUGRAAACUUCGCUGGAAGGACAACUGAGAAACUCUAAGUGGGAGAUGCUUUACGCAAUAGGCUGUUGCUACCAUAGAGAAUGAUAAUAGUGAAUAUCAAUCAGCUGAUAAUGAAUAAUGAAUAAAAGAGCAGUUUGCUGAUACAGCAAACCAUAUGUAUAAGAAUUUUUAGUUAAUAUUUUGUUAAUGUUAAUUUGUCGCACAGACAACAAAGCUUUGCCGUGUUCA